This 1549-nucleotide ribosomal RNA is filed under the name Vibrio alginolyticus. RNAcentral describes it as "bacterial SSU rRNA". It matches the Rfam family "Bacterial small subunit ribosomal RNA". The record is from RNAcentral. Lineage: Bacteria; Pseudomonadati; Pseudomonadota; Gammaproteobacteria; Vibrionales; Vibrionaceae.
UUGAAGAGUUUGAUCAUGGCUCAGAUUGAACGCUGGCGGCAGGCCUAACACAUGCAAGUCGAGCGGAAACGAGUUAUCUGAACCUUCGGGGGACGAUAACGGCGUCGAGCGGCGGACGGGUGAGUAAUGCCUAGGAAAUUGCCCUGAUGUGGGGGAUAACCAUUGGAAACGAUGGCUAAUACCGCAUGAUGCCUACGGGCCAAAGAGGGGGACCUUCGGGCCUCUCGCGUCAGGAUAUGCCUAGGUGGGAUUAGCUAGUUGGUGAGGUAAGGGCUCACCAAGGCGACGAUCCCUAGCUGGUCUGAGAGGAUGAUCAGCCACACUGGAACUGAGACACGGUCCAGACUCCUACGGGAGGCAGCAGUGGGGAAUAUUGCACAAUGGGCGCAAGCCUGAUGCAGCCAUGCCGCGUGUGUGAAGAAGGCCUUCGGGUUGUAAAGCACUUUCAGUCGUGAGGAAGGUAGUGUAGUUAAUAGCUGCAUUAUUUGACGUUAGCGACAGAAGAAGCACCGGCUAACUCCGUGCCAGCAGCCGCGGUAAUACGGAGGGUGCGAGCGUUAAUCGGAAUUACUGGGCGUAAAGCGCAUGCAGGUGGUUUGUUAAGUCAGAUGUGAAAGCCCGGGGCUCAACCUCGGAAUAGCAUUUGAAACUGGCAGACUAGAGUACUGUAGAGGGGGGUAGAAUUUCAGGUGUAGCGGUGAAAUGCGUAGAGAUCUGAAGGAAUACCGGUGGCGAAGGCGGCCCCCUGGACAGAUACUGACACUCAGAUGCGAAAGCGUGGGGAGCAAACAGGAUUAGAUACCCUGGUAGUCCACGCCGUAAACGAUGUCUACUUGGAGGUUGUGGCCUUGAGCCGUGGCUUUCGGAGCUAACGCGUUAAGUAGACCGCCUGGGGAGUACGGUCGCAAGAUUAAAACUCAAAUGAAUUGACGGGGGCCCGCACAAGCGGUGGAGCAUGUGGUUUAAUUCGAUGCAACGCGAAGAACCUUACCUACUCUUGACAUCCAGAGAACUUUCCAGAGAUGGAUUGGUGCCUUCGGGAACUCUGAGACAGGUGCUGCAUGGCUGUCGUCAGCUCGUGUUGUGAAAUGUUGGGUUAAGUCCCGCAACGAGCGCAACCCUUAUCCUUGUUUGCCAGCGAGUAAUGUCGGGAACUCCAGGGAGACUGCCGGUGAUAAACCGGAGGAAGGUGGGGACGACGUCAAGUCAUCAUGGCCCUUACGAGUAGGGCUACACACGUGCUACAAUGGCGCAUACAGAGGGCAGCCAACUUGCGAAAGUGAGCGAAUCCCAAAAAGUGCGUCGUAGUCCGGAUUGGAGUCUGCAACUCGACUCCAUGAAGUCGGAAUCGCUAGUAAUCGUGGAUCAGAAUGCCACGGUGAAUACGUUCCCGGGCCUUGUACACACCGCCCGUCACACCAUGGGAGUGGGCUGCAAAAGAAGUAGGUAGUUUAACCUUCGGGGGGACGCUUACCACUUUGUGGUUCAUGACUGGGGUGAAGUCGUAACAAGGUAGCGCUAGGGGAACCUGGCGCUGGAUCACCUCCUU